AGUUAUGUGGACGGAAUUGCUUCUCCUGAGAACACCUCUCGCAAAGCUCUGCACCAAACCACGUUAAUCCCUCUGGAGGAACGCAUUGUUUCUCCAGAGACUGACAGUGGGUUUGUGGGCUCUGACAGCAGCAGACUCACACCAGCCAUUCAGACUCCAGAGCAUCAACCCACUCAGAGCAGACUUCAAAACCAAAGGGCAACUUCACUGAAAUCGCUGUGUCAGGAUGAAAAAGCUGCUCUGCGAAGGCAACAGUCUCAGGAAACCC
Long non-coding RNA from Hemiscyllium ocellatum (epaulette shark), 268 nucleotides. RefSeq lists it as uncharacterized. NCBI's taxonomy places the organism in Eukaryota, Metazoa, Chordata, Chondrichthyes, Orectolobiformes, Hemiscylliidae. The transcript is spliced from 3 exons. The record is from RefSeq and is a predicted model, not a curated record.